GGCCAAGUCAUGUUGAAACAUCAGUUCUUGUUUGAUCACCAAAGUUAAGCAGUAUUGAGUGCAGUCAGUAAUUAGAUGGGGGACUGCCUGGGAACAUCGGGUACUGUA
Acanthosepion pharaonis is the source of this 108-nucleotide non-coding RNA. NCBI's taxonomy places the organism in Eukaryota, Metazoa, Mollusca, Cephalopoda, Sepiida, Sepiidae. The record is from the annotation of a GenBank genome assembly.